Molecule: ribosomal RNA, 441 nt
Filed under: uncultured bacterium
Lineage: Bacteria
Description: partial 16S ribosomal RNA
Rfam family: Bacterial small subunit ribosomal RNA
Source: RNAcentral
CCUACGGGUGGCAGCAGUGGGGAAUAUUGCGCAAUGGGGGAAACACUGACGCAGCAACGCCGCGUGAGUGAAGACGUAUCUCGGUAUGUAAAGCUCUAUCAGCGGGGAAGAAGGCAGACGGUACCCGACUAAGAAGCCCCGGCUAACUACGUGCCAGCAGCCGCGGUAAUACGUAGGGGGCAAGCGUUAUCCGGAUUUACUGGGUGUAAAGGGAGCGUAGACGGCGUCGCAAGUCUGAAGUGAAAGCCCGUGGCUCAACCGCGGAACUGCUUGGGAGACUGCGUGGCUGGAGUGCUGGAGAGGUAAGCGGAAUGCCUGGUGUAGCGGUGAAAUGCGUAGAUAUCAGGAGGAACACCGGUGGCGAAGGCGGCUUACUGGACAGUGACUGACGUUGAGGCUCGAAAGCGUGGGGAGCGAACAGGAUUAGAUACCCGAGUAGUC